ACAGUCAUCUGUAAAGCGAACGCGUUCAGCCUGUUCCAUCAACCCUCACAGCGCCGCAGAAGGAGCUGAGGGGCAGGGACAGACGGUGGGAGAGGCAGAAGACAGGCUCAGAAUUUCCACAGGUUUCUUCUCUCUGCUUGUACCUGACAGCCCGGGACCCCGGCACGAGAGGAAGGGGCCCCUUCAACGCCAGCUCUGGAAAUCCCCACCUACGAGACCUUGGGCAGGUCGUUCCAUUGUUUCGACCCCAUGUUUCUUCCUCUGAAAGAGAAGGAAAUGAGAUCUAUCCCGCAGGAGUCACUAUUGCACUGAACGGAAGAGAGAAGACGUGGCAUGGAAGAGAAGACGUGGCGUAUCUUGAUGGUGCAGGUGAGGAACAGAAGCCAGAAGAAAGCGAUGUACCAUGUUGCAGAGCUGUUAACGGACACCUAUGGGCCCAUCAGCGAAUCUGCCGUGUUUUUAACCCCUCGGAACUCAAUCACCAGAAUGAAGCCCCGGGAGGAAGAAAAUUUUAUUCUCUUGUUCCCUGGACUAACUCCAGAGCUGUAUCCAGCACACGCCAGCUGCUCAAAUGAUUGUUGGCUCACUCUCUUGCUCUUCUCAGAAUAAGACUCAUCAUAAUGUCUGAUGGAACGAAAAUGGUGCCCCACCCAACCUCAGUGUUUGCUGACUGACAAUUCCCAUCCCUCCAGCAUGAGGCCUAAGGCCCAGCCUCAGCAACUGGUCCAGAGGGAGGCACAUGACCAAGGCCGGUCGCAUCUCAGUGAUUGCUGGAGAGAUACUCACUGCAUCUCCCCUCCUGGACUGGGAAGUGGGGAGCUCUAAAGCUAGAAGGUAAACACCGACUCCCAGAGCCCUUCUGAGAUCGCAGCUGGCACAGAGAAGAGCCAAGCGACAGAGAGAAGCUGGGUGGUGAUGCCCUCUCCUCGGCUCGAGCCCCGCUGGACCAGGUCACGGAACAGCAGUAGGGCUAUACAGUCCCCGUGUUCUCUGAGGGUCAGGAGCUCUACAGCGGAUUCACAGGGCUGAGAUCCCAGGCAGGAGGAAGCCAGGGCUGCAGCCAUCUGAGGGUCGUGCUUCUAGGGAACAUCUCAAGAAAGAGCAGGGCGGGAGGGCCGUGAUGAGCGAGGCCUCCCAGGCCACACGCCAUCGCUGUGGUCUGCUCUGUCCGUCGGGGACAAGUCACUACGUCUGACCUACAUGUCAGGGAGGGUUGCUAGACUCCACCUUUGUAAGUGACGGCUGUCAAAGAACUUCGAGAGCUCUGUGGAAGCCACCACAGCAGCCACACUCGAAGAUCCCCGUCAGACUCUGCUGUUCCAGAGGCAAUCGUCUACACCACCACCGCCUUGUUCAUCCCUCAUUCCCAUGUCAGGAGACCAGCUGGACCUGGGGUUUCUGUCACAUUCAACACAAAGGGAGAACCCGAACCGCUACAGAGAUCAAAAACACGUCUCAUGACGCUAAGUGUGCUGUUCCUUCCAAAACACCACAGCUGU
Molecule: long non-coding RNA, 1499 nt
Filed under: Mustela putorius furo (domestic ferret)
Lineage: Eukaryota; Metazoa; Chordata; Mammalia; Carnivora; Mustelidae
Description: lncRNA (ENSMPUG00000028598.1)
Source: RNAcentral